This 429-nucleotide ribosomal RNA is filed under the name Chloroflexota bacterium. RNAcentral's name for it is "Chloroflexi bacterium partial 16S ribosomal RNA". It matches the Rfam family "Bacterial small subunit ribosomal RNA", at positions 355 to 776 of the family's 1533-position model. The record is from RNAcentral. Lineage: Bacteria; Bacillati; Chloroflexota.
UAGGGAAUCUUCGGCAAUGGACGAAAGUCUGACCGAGCAACGCCGCGUGAGUGAAGAAGGUUUUCGGAUCGUAAAACUCUGUUGUUAGAGAAGAACAAGGACGUUAGUAACUGAACGUCCCCUGACGGUAUCUAACCAGAAAGCCACGGCUAACUACGUGCCAGCAGCCGCGGUAAUACGUAGGUGGCAAGCGUUGUCCGGAUUUAUUGGGCGUAAAGCGAGCGCAGGCGGUUUCUUAAAUCUGAUGUGAAAGCCCCCGGCUCAACCGGGGAGGGUCAUUGGAGACUGGGAGACUUGAGUGCAGAAGAGAAGAGUGGAAUUCCAUGUGUGGCGGUGAAAUACGUGGAUAUAUGGAGGAACACCAGUGGCGAAGGCGGCUCUCUGGUCUGUAACUGACGCUGAGGCUCGAAAGCGUGGGGAGCAAACAGG